AACAAUUCUACAGGAUGAUAACAAUAAAUGACGUAGAAUCUUUCUCUUUUUUUUUUUCUUUACGUAGAAUUAAUCUUAUAUUAUUGUGAUGUCUUAAAAGGGUUUUAAUUAAUUUGCAACUGAAUGAUGCAUGACCAAAACAAAACUUAAAAAGCAUUUUAACAUAUACAGAGUUUCUACAAAUCACUGGAGUAGUUGAUUUUAGAUUCUUAGAAAUUAUUUCCUUUUGUUAAUGUUUGGAAUUUGGAUCGUUGUGCAUUUCUUUCUUGCUUUCUUGAAUUUCACUAAUUUUCUCGUAUGCGUACCCACCAAACAAGAAAAGUUAGUCUAAAGAUUUUAUUUAAACUUUA
This 350-nucleotide long non-coding RNA is filed under the name Brassica rapa (field mustard). RNAcentral describes it as "long non-coding RNA (BRAP_LNC007280)". The record is from RNAcentral. Lineage: Eukaryota; Viridiplantae; Streptophyta; Magnoliopsida; Brassicales; Brassicaceae.